AUGCGUCCUAUUAGCUAGUUGGUAAGGUAACGGCUUACCAAGGCAACGAUAGGUAGGGGCCCUGAGAGGGGGAUCCCCNACACUGGUACUGGGACACGGACCAGACUCCUACGGGAGGCAGCAGUGAGGAAUAUUGGACAAUGGAGGCAACUCUGAUCCAGCCAUGCCGCGUGAAGGAUGACUGCCCUAUGGGUUGUAAACUUCUUUUAUACAGGAAGAAACCGUUCCACGUGUGGAGCUUUGACGGUACUGUAUGAAUAANNACC
RNAcentral lists this ribosomal RNA (266 nucleotides) under uncultured bacterium. RNAcentral describes it as "partial 16S ribosomal RNA". It matches the Rfam family "Bacterial small subunit ribosomal RNA", at positions 231 to 494 of the family's 1533-position model. The record is from RNAcentral.